RNAcentral lists this ribosomal RNA (523 nucleotides) under Clostridioides difficile. RNAcentral's name for it is "bacterial SSU rRNA". It matches the Rfam family "Bacterial small subunit ribosomal RNA", at positions 296 to 841 of the family's 1533-position model. The record is from RNAcentral. Lineage: Bacteria; Bacillati; Bacillota; Clostridia; Peptostreptococcales; Peptostreptococcaceae.
GAGGGUGAUCGGCCACAUUGGAACUGAGACACGGUCCAAACUCCUACGGGAGGCAGCAGUGGGGAAUAUUGCACAAUGGGCGAAAGCCUGAUGCAGCAACGCCGCGUGAGUGAUGAAGGCCUUCGGGUCGUAAAACUCUGUCCUCAAGGAAGAUAAUGACGGUACUUGAGGAGGAAGCCCCGGCUAACUACGUGCCAGCAGCCGCGGUAAUACGUAGGGGGCUAGCGUUAUCCGGAUUUACUGGGCGUAAAGGGUGCGUAGGCGGUCUUUCAAGUCAGGAGUGAAAGGCUACGGCUCAACCGUAGUAAGCUCUUGAAACUGGGAGACUUGAGUGCAGGAGAGGAGAGUGGAAUUCCUAGUGUAGCGGUGAAAUGCGUAGAUAUUAGGAGGAACACCAGUUGCGAAGGCGGCUCGCUGGACUGUAACUGACGCUGAGGCACGAAAGCGUGGGGAGCAAACAGGAUUAGAUACCCUGGUAGUCCACGCUGUAAACGAUGAGUACUAGGUGUCGGGGGUUACCCCC